UCCCUGGUGGUCCAGUGGCUAAGACUCUGUAUUCCUAACACGGGGGGUCUGGGUUCAAUCCCUGGUCAGGGAA
Bos taurus (domestic cattle) is the source of this 73-nucleotide non-coding RNA. Lineage: Eukaryota; Metazoa; Chordata; Mammalia; Artiodactyla; Bovidae. The record is from Rfam.